RNAcentral lists this ribosomal RNA (253 nucleotides) under uncultured bacterium. Its description in RNAcentral is "partial 16S ribosomal RNA". It matches the Rfam family "Bacterial small subunit ribosomal RNA", at positions 524 to 776 of the family's 1533-position model. The record is from RNAcentral.
UACAGAGGGUGCGAACGUUGCUCGGAAUUACUGGGCGUAAAGCGCACGUAGGCGGAUUGUUAAGUCGGGGGUGAAAUCCUGGAGCUCAACUCCAGAACUGCCUUCGAUACUGGCGAUCUCGAGUUCGGGAGAGGUGAGUGGAACUGCGAGUGUAGAGGUGAAAUUCGUAGAUAUUCGCAAGAACACCAGUGGCGAAGGCGGCUCACUGGCCCGAUACUGACGCUGAGGUGCGAAAGCGUGGGGAGCAAACAGG